Molecule: non-coding RNA, 84 nt
Organism: Bombyx mori (domestic silkworm)
Lineage: Eukaryota; Metazoa; Arthropoda; Insecta; Lepidoptera; Bombycidae
Source: Rfam
UUAUCUCAAAUUUGUAUGGAGUUGGAACGUUUGCCUACGUUUGCCGCUAGGGGCGCUGUUACAAUACCAUACAAAUUUGUGUUA